AUGACCCUCUGCGACACACACUCGCACGCAAAUUGUGGCAGAUACUCUCUUUUAGAUCACACUCAUACACAGACUUGAAACUCACAAACUUUACACAUACACACAGAGUUGGUACCCAAACACUCUUUAGCUCCAUACACACACACACACACAAGUACACACACACUCACACGUAUGCACACCUGAAGAAGGUUAUGUAUGUAAGUGGGUGAAAGUCUUUUAUUAAGACAUUUGCAGGAAUUGCAGUAGCCUUUUGGAGCCCAAACAGCAGACAUCAACCUUCCAAUUGCCGUACCCGUUGGACAUUAUCUGAACUGGUGGAGCUAUUAAAGGAUUUUUGAGUGUGCUUGGUGACCGCAAAAGUUGGUACCAAUCGGGAUUUAAACCAUAGCCCCUUUGUUACGUAUUGAAGAGGUUCAGUUUUUAUGUUGAAUCAACAAACACAAGUUUACACAAAAUCUUAUGAACAUUGGUCGAAAUGAGUAAUUCAUCGUAUUUUUCGACGAUGUUCAGUUCCACUGAUGAGCUUUGCUAUUUUGUUAAUAAAGCGGCCAAUAUGACUGAUACCCUGUCCACGGAAGUCAACACACUAUUAGACGCUGUGGCCAACAUUCUAUACUUUGUCACCUUUAUCACAAAUUGUAUUUGUGUUCAUAUCAUGUUCAGCACGCCUCACUUAAGGAAAACUAGCGCGUUUGUCAUGUACCAGUCCUGCAAUGACGCUCUGUUCGCUCUGGUUUCCAUCAUUCUCUUCCUCGGCGACAAAAGUCUUUCAGAAACGUUGCUUAUCAGCUCACCGGGGAUUCUUUACAGUUAUAUAAGCUACUCAUGCAUAAUCCUCAUCUCUGUAGACCGAUGGCUAUACUUGAUCAACCCACAAUUUCACAGUUCCAUCACAGCAAAAAAAAAUUAUUCUGGUCAUUGUUUCCUCUUUGGUCAUUUCAUUCUUUCUCAGUUGCCCCUUCUGCAGCUGUGAGCAUGCCAAUUUUGUUCAUAGGUAUUUUUUACUAAAUCACCAAUACGUACUACCAGGUUUUCAUGUUGUCUGUUUUCUCUUUCUUGUUUUCAUCUACAUUCAUAUCUCUCUUGUGUUACGCAACCAUUAUAAACAAAUUUCCAGACUGAACAAAAGUGUGACGGAUGUUUUAACUUACAGGAAAAACAUAAAAGACUUACAAUCUAAGAAAUGGAACUCUUUUAUGUUUGUUUUUCUAGUGAGUUGCUCCUACUUACUGCUGGUCUCCCCUUUCACAGUUACGAAAGCCUAUGCAUAUAUUGCAGAUAGUCCAACCACGAGAAAUUUUUACAUAAUGAACCGUAUAGCUCAUAUGUUCCAUACACUUUCUCAUUUCACGAACUUCAUUGUAUAUUCAAUAAGAUGUCCAGGCUUCAAAGACAUGUUCAAAGUAAAGAUUAUUAAUCUAAAAAAUUACUUAAAAGCCCCAUUUGCUAAAUGCAGACAAUUUGAAAGAUCACCACCGAUUGAGAUGUCUGCAAUUUCAUCUGAAACAUUAUCUUAUCAAUUUUAAACUUACAUGUCAAUGAAAUGUGUUUUUGUUUUAAAUGGAAAAUGAAAUUUGAUUCUGCUGGAUUAUGAAUCCUACAUGUGUGCGUAUUUGUACGUCAAAAAGCUUUUUCCUCACAAUUCUUAUGCACUCUUGUUAGGUUUUUCUAAAUAAUUAUGAAAAUGGGGUCAUGUUUAGUGUGAUGGAGGUUGGGGUUAGUUCAGCCUCGCUUUACCUGCCCCCACCAGCAACAGAGCAAGUUCCAGAAAAGUGAAAUCGGAGCGCAGUCGAUGACCAGCGGGCCUUACACGGCAAACAGUGCAUCCACCGUGACCCCAAGUUCGACAGGGAGACUUCAGACUUCACAAGAUGUUACUUUAACCAGAUUUCAGUUAAGACUUAACAACACGUGUUUAGUAGUGGACAGAGACAAAGAGUUUACUACAUACCUGCUCUGACUUUCACCUGCUUCACCCACGUCUACAGGAUUAUCCUGAAUGUGGCCGCUGUCGUCUGGUGACAACUAUUUGAAGUUAAAGAUGGCGACCGAUGUCAACGAACGGCUCAAAAGGACCGGACUGCCCGGUUAGCAGAGGUUCCAUUUCUUCUACAGUACUCGCAUAUUUUUACACAUGAUAUAUUAUUAUUCAUAAUGCAAAUUGACCAUCUGCCUAGGAUUACUGGGAUAAACUAAAGAAGUCACACACUGUUUUCUUUUUUUUUCUUUUUUCAAUUUCAAUGAUUAGAAUAAACUUUAAAUGGCACAAUUGAUGGUCGCUGUUGUGAAUGGGAUAUAGGUGAGAAUAUCUUUCAUGUAAAGUUUGAGUUCUUCUGGCUUGUUGGGCCUGCCUAAGAGUUUGUCUGAAUUACUAGUUUUCUAUUUCUAAUCUUUAUUAUUGAUGCUUUGAGUCCAAACUGUUAAUAAAGAGAAAAUUAUGAGCUU
This is a long non-coding RNA of Biomphalaria glabrata, 2448 nucleotides long. RefSeq lists it as uncharacterized. The record is from RefSeq and is a predicted model, not a curated record. Lineage: Eukaryota; Metazoa; Mollusca; Gastropoda; Planorbidae. The transcript is spliced from 3 exons.